Aphidius gifuensis is the source of this 484-nucleotide long non-coding RNA. RefSeq lists it as uncharacterized. The transcript is spliced from 2 exons. NCBI's taxonomy places the organism in Eukaryota, Metazoa, Arthropoda, Insecta, Hymenoptera, Braconidae. The record is from RefSeq and is a predicted model, not a curated record.
UCCUUACUCUAUUAUCAUGAAAAAAGUAAAAUAAUAUUUUUUGUUAUUAAAUACAAAUGAUACAAUUGUUAUUGGCUUUAUUGCGUUUCGUUUAUUACGACGUUUGAAUUUUUUUUUUUGUAUAAAUACCGUAUGUAAUGUUUUUAAAAAUCAUAAAAUUCGGUAAUCGAUAUAGAAAGGAUCACCGUUAAUUAAAUUCUUGAAGAGUAUUUUAAUAACCAUCAAAAAAUGAAGUUGAAUUUUAUUGUCAUUGCUAUUAUUGGUGUCAUCAUAAUGAUGUUUGCUGACAUGGGUGAUGCACAGGCGCAAAGAUGUUUACGAAGAGGAUCUCGUUGUCGAGUAAAUAGACAAUGUUGCAGUCGUCGUUGCAGACCCAACAUUUCUGGCCGUCGUGUUUGUCGAUGAUUUUAAAACGAAAUAAUAAAACUAAAAUAAAUAUUACAAGAAAAAAAAAAAAAACGAGUUCAUUAAUUAUUUUUAUACC